Molecule: ribosomal RNA, 483 nt
Filed under: uncultured bacterium
Lineage: Bacteria
Description: partial 16S ribosomal RNA
Rfam family: Bacterial small subunit ribosomal RNA
Source: RNAcentral
AUUGAACGCUGGCGGCAGGCCUAACACAUGCAAGUCGAGCGGAUGAAGGGAGCUUGCUCCUGGAUUCAGCGGCGGACGGGUGAGUAAUGCCUAGGAAUCUGCCUGGUAGUGGGGGAUAACGUCCGGAAACGGGCGCUAAUACCGCAUACGUCCUGAGGGAGAAAGUGGGGGAUCUUCGGACCUCACGCUAUCAGAUGAGCCUAGGUCGGAUUAGCUAGUUGGUGGGGUAAAGGCCUACCAAGGCGACGAUCCGUAACUGGUCUGAGAGGAUGAUCAGUCACACUGGAAAUGAGACACGGUCCAGACUCCGACGGGAGGCAGCAGUGGGGAAUAUUGGACAAUGGGCGAAAGCCUGAUCCAGCCAUGCCGCGUGUGUGAAGAAGGUCUUCGGAUUGUAAAGCACUUUAAGUUGGGAGGAAGGGCAGUAAGUUAAUACCUUGCUGUUUUGACGUUACCAACAGAAUAAGCACCGGCUAACUUCGU